This 455-nucleotide ribosomal RNA is filed under the name uncultured bacterium. RNAcentral's name for it is "SSU rRNA". It matches the Rfam family "Bacterial small subunit ribosomal RNA", at positions 26 to 518 of the family's 1533-position model. The record is from RNAcentral.
AGGAUAAACGCUGGCGGCGUGCCUAACACAUGCAAGUCGAACGUCCUACGCAAGUAGGGAGUGGCGGACGGGUGAGUAACACGUGGGCAAUCUACCUUUCGGUGAGGAAUACCGGCGAGAAAUCGCCGACAAUACCGCAUACGCUUCGCAAGAAGCAAAGUCGCAAGACGCCGGAGGAGGAGCCUGCGCCCGAUUAGCUGGUUGGUGGAGUAAUGGUCUACCAAGGCGACGAUCGGUAGCUGGUCUGAGAGGAUGAUCAGCCACAUUGGGACUGAGACACGGCCCAAACUCCUACGGGAGGCAGCAGUGGGGAAGUAUUGGACAAUAGGGCGCAAGCCUGAUCCAGCAAUGCCGCGUGGGUGAAGAAGGUCUUCGGAUUGUAAAGCCCUUUCGACGGGGACGAUGAUGACGGUACCCGUAGAAGAAGCCCCGGCUAACUUCGUGCCAGCAGCCGC